Molecule: ribosomal RNA, 952 nt
Filed under: uncultured euryarchaeote
Lineage: Archaea; Methanobacteriati; Methanobacteriota
Description: bacterial SSU rRNA
Rfam family: Archaeal small subunit ribosomal RNA
Source: RNAcentral
UCCGAGUGGUUUCUGCUAAAGAAACCUUUUGUCAGUCCUAGAAACACUAACGAAUAAGGGGUGGGCAAGUUCUGGUGUCAGCCGCCGCGGUAAAACCAGCACCUCAAGUGGUCAGGAUGAUUAUUGGGCCUAAAGCAUCCGUAGCUCGUUUUGUAAGUUUUCGGUUAAAUCCAUGCGCUUAACGUAUGGGCUGCCGGGAAUACUGCAUAACUAGGAAGUGGGAGAGGUAGACGGUACUCGGUAGGAAGGGGUAAAAUCCUUUGAUCUAUUGAUGACCACCUGUGGCGAAGGCGGUCUACCAGAACACGUUCGACGGUGAGGGAUGAAAGCUGGGGGAGCAAACCGGAUUAGAUACCCGGGUAGUCCCAGCUGUAAACUAUGCAAACUCAGUGAUGCAUUGGCUUGUGGCCAAUGCAGUGCUGCAGGGAAGCCGUUAAGUUUGCCGCCUGGGAAGUACGUACGCAAGUAUGAAACUUAAAGGAAUUGGCGGGGGAGCACCACAAGGGGUGAAGCCUGCGGUUCAAUUGGAGUCAACGCCAGAAAUCUUACCCGGAGAGACAGCAGAAUGAAGGUCAAGCUGAAGACUUUACCAGACAAGCUGAGAGGUGGUGCAUGGCCGUCGCCAGCUCGUGCCGUGAGAUGUCCUGUUAAGUCAGGUAACGAGCGAGAUCCCUGCCUCUAGUUGCUACCAUUAUUCUCAGGAGUAGUGGAGCUAAUUAGAGGGACCGCCGUCGCUGAGACGGAGGAAGGUGGGGGCUACGGCAGGUCAGUAUGCCCCGAAACCCUCGGGCCACACGCGGGCUGCAAUGGUAAGGACAAUGAGUUUCGAUUCCGAAAGGAGGAGGCAAUCUCUAAACCUUACCACAGUUAUGAUUGAGGGCUGAAACUCGCCCUCAUGAAUAUGGAAUCCCUAGUAACCGCGUGUCACUAUCGCGCGGUGAAUACGUCCCUG